This 85-nucleotide transfer RNA is filed under the name Felis catus (domestic cat). It matches the Rfam family "tRNA". Rfam says of the family: Transfer RNA (tRNA) molecules are approximately 80 nucleotides in length. Their secondary structure includes four short double-helical elements and three loops (D, anti-codon, and T loops). Further hydrogen bonds mediate the characteristic L-shaped molecular structure. tRNAs have two regions of fundamental functional importance: the anti-codon, which is responsible for specific mRNA codon recognition, and the 3' end, to which the tRNAs corresponding amino acid is attached (by aminoacyl-tRNA synthetases). tRNAs cope with the degeneracy of the genetic code in two manners: having more than one tRNA (with a specific anti-codon) for a particular amino acid; and 'wobble' base-pairing, i.e. permitting non-standard base-pairing at the 3rd anti-codon position. The record is from Rfam by way of RNAcentral. Lineage: Eukaryota; Metazoa; Chordata; Mammalia; Carnivora; Felidae.
GCCUGGGUGGCUUAGUCGGUUAAGCGUCCGACUUUGGCUCAGGUCAUGAUCUCACGGUCCGUGAGUUCGAGCCCCACGCCAGGCU